RNAcentral lists this signal recognition particle RNA (266 nucleotides) under Candidatus Auribacterota bacterium. RNAcentral's name for it is "signal recognition particle sRNA large type". It matches the Rfam family "Bacterial large signal recognition particle RNA". From Rfam's summary of the family: The signal recognition particle (SRP) is a universally conserved ribonucleoprotein involved in the co-translational targeting of proteins to membranes. Lineage: Bacteria; Pseudomonadati; Candidatus Auribacterota. The record is from RNAcentral.
UUGUGCUAAGCGGGGAGUCAGCGGUGCCCUGUAUCUGCAAUCCGCUAUAGCAGAGCUGAAAUCCCGAUUGAGGCAGUUGGAGCGGACUGACAAGAGAGAGCAUUUUGUGUUGAAGGCCGGGUCCUAUGCAACAGGAUUCUGUGAACCCCGUCAGGUCCGAGAGGAAGCAGCGGUAAGCAGUCCAUUCUGGGUGCUGUAGGGUUGCCUGGCCGGAGCGAAGUCUUUCUGGAGAAAGUUUUUUUCCUCUGCCAAGAAAGGGUGCACAA